UGGGGAAUAUUGCACAAUGGGCGAAAGCCUGAUGCAGCAACGCCGCGUGAGUGAUGAAGGCCUUCGGGUUGUAAAGCUCUGUCUUUUGGGACGAUAAUGACGGUACCAAAGGAGGAAGCCACGGCUAACUACGUGCCAGCAGCCGCGGUAAUACGUAGGUGGUAAGCGUUGUCCGGAUUUACUGGGCGUAAAGGAUGCGUAGGCGGAUUUUUAAGUGAGAUGUGAAAACCCUAAGCUUAACUUGGGGACUGCAUUUCAUACUGGAAAUCUAGAGUGCGGGAGAGGAGAAUGGAAUUCCUAGUGUAGCGGUGAAAUGCGUAGAGAUUAGGAAGAACACCAGUGGCGAAGGCGAUUCUCUGGACCGUAACUGACGCUGAGGCAUGAAAGCGUGGGUAGCAAACAGGAUUAGAUACCCUGGUAGUCCACGCCGUAAACGAUGAGUACUAGGUGUAGGAGGUAUCGACCCCUUCUGUGCCGCAGUUAACACAAUAAGUACUCCGCCUGGGAAGUACGAUCGCAAGAUUAAAACUCAAAUGAAUUGACGGGGUC
RNAcentral lists this ribosomal RNA (549 nucleotides) under uncultured bacterium. Its description in RNAcentral is "partial 16S ribosomal RNA". It matches the Rfam family "Bacterial small subunit ribosomal RNA", at positions 355 to 920 of the family's 1533-position model. The record is from RNAcentral.